UUGGAGGGCAAGUCUGGUGCCAGCAGCCGCGGUAAUUCCAGCUCCAAUAGCGUAUAUUAAAGUUGUUGCAGUUAAAAAGCUCGUAGUUGAAUUUCGGGAUUAGUACGUCGGUCGUGCCUUAGGUACGUACUGGUGUUACUGGUUCCUACCUUCUGACGAACCAUCAUGUCAUUAAUUUGGUGUGGUGGGGAAUCAGGACUGUUACUUUGAAAAAAUUAGAGUGUUUAAAACAGGCUCGCGCUUGAAUACAUUAGCAUGGAAUAAUGAAAUAGGACGUUGAUCCUAUUUUGUUGGUUUCUAGGAUUGACGUAAUGAUUAAUAGGGAUAGUUGGGGGCAUUAGUAUUCAAUUGUCAGAGGUGAAAUUCUUGGAUUUAUUGAAGACUAACUACUGCGAAAGCAUUUGCCAAGGAUGUUUUCAUUAAUCAAGAACGAAAGUUAGGGGAUCGAAGACGAUCAGAUACCGUCGUAGUCUUAACCAUAAACUAUGCCGAUCUAGGGAUCGGAGCGAUGUUAAUUUUAUAAUGACUCGUUCGGCGCCUUACGGGAAAC
Molecule: ribosomal RNA, 550 nt
Filed under: uncultured Glomus
Lineage: Eukaryota; Fungi; Glomeromycota; Glomeromycetes; Glomerales; Glomeraceae
Description: SSU rRNA
Rfam family: Eukaryotic small subunit ribosomal RNA
Source: RNAcentral